AUGCUUGCUUCAGCAGCACGGACACUAAGAUUAGAAAGAUAAGGACAGGACUGGCUUGGCCCCUGGCACAAGGAUGCCAUACAAAUUUGUGAGGCGUUCUGUAAAAAA
Small nuclear RNA from Panthera pardus (leopard), 108 nucleotides. NCBI's taxonomy places the organism in Eukaryota, Metazoa, Chordata, Mammalia, Carnivora, Felidae. The record is from Ensembl.